AGGGUUUUCAAGGAAAAACUGGUCCUCCAGGCCCAGGUGGUGUUGUUGGACCCCAGGGUCCUACUGGUGAGACUGGCCCAAUUGGUGAAAGAGGUCACCCAGGUCCUCCAGGCCCACCGGGUGAGCAAGGCCUUCCAGGUGCUGCAGGGAAGGAAGGCGCUAAGGGUGAUCCAGGUCCUCAAGGCAUCUCUGGAAAAGAUGGGCCAGCAGGUCUUCGUGGUUUUCCAGGAGAAAGAGGCCUUCCAGGAGCUCAG
RNAcentral lists this long non-coding RNA (254 nucleotides) under Crocodylus porosus (Australian saltwater crocodile). RNAcentral's name for it is "lncRNA (ENSCPRG00005014299.1)". Lineage: Eukaryota; Metazoa; Chordata; Crocodylia; Crocodylidae. The record is from RNAcentral.